GUUGUACGUAUAUAAUUUAUGCUGAUUAAUUACCCCGAGAUAUGUUUACAGCAAUUACACCUUUCAUAAACAUUGCGAAUUGAACACAUGCACGCUUCUGGAAUUGGGAGCACUUAAUUUUGUUCUAAUGAGGUAUUAUUCCUUCUUCUUCAGUUUCCGAGGCCGUUGCCUAAUUCUCCACCGUGCGAUGAGGUGAGAAAUCGAGUCGGCUGGACAAUGAUAUCCAUGGCGAGACCCAAGACGCUCGGUUUACGCCCUUGAUACGUAAAUAACGAUUAAGUAAUUACGGGAACGGUACAAGGCUGGUUUGCUAUUUAUUAUCUUAUUGAAAAAAAAGUAGAGAGCGAAAUGUAUACAAAGUUCAGUGCGUUUCUCACAGGAAGAGACUUUGAUAUCUGCGCCAUGUUAAUUAGGUAACGAUGGCGAAGGCCGAAAUUGUGCUCUGUGUUGCAACUCUUGCAUUACUAAUUAAUCGUAUUGUCAGUUGAAUUAUUCCGCUUUUGCCUCACUUUCUCCAGAACACCAAAAGCGAUUUAGUGGCGCCCCGGCCUAAGAUGGGAGGUCUUCUAACAAUUCAAAUUUCAAUUAUUCAUCUCAUCGUUCUUUAAGUCAUAACAAACUUGGGAUGAGCUCAAAAGAAGAAUAUGCGAAACAUCGUGACCCGUUAUCAUGUCAUCAUAUACUCCAAGGCUAAUAUUAAUUAAGAUGCGGAAACGAUAUAUCCACAGAGCCUCUUCUUGUUAAUUAAAUGAUCAAAAUUUA
Molecule: long non-coding RNA, 762 nt
Organism: Photinus pyralis (common eastern firefly)
Lineage: Eukaryota; Metazoa; Arthropoda; Insecta; Coleoptera; Lampyridae
Exons: 2
Source: RefSeq, a predicted model, not a curated record